RNAcentral lists this ribosomal RNA (762 nucleotides) under Cicadellidae gen. sp. 1 JCX-2018. RNAcentral describes it as "12S ribosomal RNA". Lineage: Eukaryota; Metazoa; Arthropoda; Insecta; Hemiptera; Cicadellidae. The record is from RNAcentral.
CAAAAAUUUAAUUCUUGUUUUUAGAUUAGUUUUUCUUUAAAGUUAUAUGGAUUAUAUUAAUAAUAUAUUUAUUUCAGUAAUUUAAUUUUUAUAUAAAUUUUUAUUUAUAAAGUUAAAAGGAUAAUUUAAAUUAGAUUAAAUUUGUGCCAGCAUUCGCGGUUAUACAAUUUAUUUAAAUUAAUCUCUUAGGAUAAUAAGGAAAGGGGUUCGUGAUUAAUUAUUAGAAUAUUUAGGUGGAAUUUAUAUUUAAUUUAUUUUUCUAUAUAUAUUUUUUUGUAUUAUAAAGUAAUAAACUAGGAUUAGAUACCCUAUUAUAAUUAUAGUAAUAAUUUUACAGAAAAGUAUUUUUAUAUUUUUAAGAAACUCAAAUAAUUUGGCGGUAAUUUAUAUUUUUAGAGGAACCUGUAAUUUUAAAUUGAUAAACCACGAUAGUUUAAACCAUUAAUUUUAUUUGUAUACCGCUAUGAUUAGGAGUGUAUUUAUAAGUUAUUCUCUUUUUUUUAUUAAAUUUUAUAUUAGGUAAAGGUGCAGUUUUUAAAUGGUUUUUAUGGGUUACAUUAAAAGUUAAUUUAGUAGGAUUUUUAUAUAUAUUAUGAAUUGAAAUUGGAUUUAACAGUAAAUUUUAAUAUAAAUUAUAUAAUUUGAAUUUAUCUUAAUUUAUGUACAUAUUGCCCGUCGCUCCUUGUUAAAGAGGAUAAGUCGUAACAAAGUAAUUUUACUGGAAAGUAAGAUUAGAAAGUCUAUUUUAAAUUAUAUAUUAUA